UAGAUAUUUGUAUGUUAAGUCAAAACAAAUGUCAAAAUUAUGAAAUGUUCUAUAAAAGAUCGAAGAUUUUUGCUGCUUCAUGGCAUCAUUUUAGCAUUGAUAAUUGCGGGUUUAAUAGUUGUUGUCCUCCUUACUAAGAAAUAGCCCAAUACCAUAAAUGGACAUAUACCUAUUACGCAGUUUUGUAAUUGUAAAAUAGUCUCCAUUUAUUGAAAUCAAAAAAGUUAAAUUUUUAGUACUUAUUGUAAUGUAAUUUAUUUAAAGACCAUAAAAUAAACUAAUGCAAGAUGAAUGUGCUACAAUUGGCGUUUUGUACCACAUAUCCAUACGAGAAUUAAGGAGUUCCUUUAUUCUUAACGACUUUUAAAUCCAUCUAGAUGCACUGAUUUCAAUCAAGCAGAUGUAGAUUUGAAUGCAACUGCUUUAAAAUAAUUAAAUAUACAUAACGAAUAGCUUACCGACCACAAAUGCAAACAAGUUUUUAAUCUCCGAGUCGUGGCCGCAAAUGCUACUAAAAUAUGAAGGGUCGCAAAUGUUCCCGUUGCAUCCGCCCUGAAACCGAAAUAAAUUGCGUUUUCUCCUGUGCCAACAAAAAUUUGUAUUCCGUUUCGUUAUUAUUUUUGUUUUGCAAUAAAGGCAUUAAUUAAUAUUUACUUUUUUUGAACUGUCCGAGUUUUACAGUAGGUGCAGAGGGUAAUAAAUUGGCAAUUUCAAUCAAUCAAAUAACUCAUUGGUUUCUAAUCAUAUCGCACAUUAAAAGAUAUAAAAUCGAUCGUAAAACAAUUCUCUCUGCGAUGUAUAACUGACAAUUAAUUGAACGUAAACAGUGGGAUACCAACAUUCAAAAGGUAUAACCGUCGUAACCUACCCUUCUCUUAACAGUAUGUUUGUGUGUCAGUUGACGAACUUUAAACUUAAUUUUUUUCUUUUUGUCAUAUAUUCUGUUAAUAUAAAGAUUUAUAUUUGAUU
Agrilus planipennis (emerald ash borer) is the source of this 969-nucleotide long non-coding RNA. RefSeq lists it as uncharacterized. NCBI's taxonomy places the organism in Eukaryota, Metazoa, Arthropoda, Insecta, Coleoptera, Buprestidae. The transcript is spliced from 3 exons. The record is from RefSeq and is a predicted model, not a curated record.